GAGGCCGCGAAAUGUAUUGAGAAGAUGCAGCAUCAAGUGCAAAAGCUUGAAAAGGAAAAUGCCGAGUUAAAAGAUACAAACAAAAUGCAAGCGGGCACAAUUGAAGAGCUUCAGAGAAACCCGCCGGGUCCAAGUUCGGUAAGUCGGGUUUUUUCUGUCAUAACCGAAAAGGAAUUUUAAUUGUGUUACCAAUAUUAUAUGAGACUAUUUUAGAAAAUAGGA
Molecule: long non-coding RNA, 222 nt
Filed under: Sus scrofa (pig)
Lineage: Eukaryota; Metazoa; Chordata; Mammalia; Artiodactyla; Suidae
Description: lncRNA (ENSSSCG00070012437.1)
Source: RNAcentral